This 486-nucleotide ribosomal RNA is filed under the name uncultured bacterium. RNAcentral's name for it is "partial 16S ribosomal RNA". It matches the Rfam family "Bacterial small subunit ribosomal RNA", at positions 30 to 507 of the family's 1533-position model. The record is from RNAcentral.
AUUGAACGCUGGCGGCAUGCCUUACACAUGCAAGUCGAACGGCAGCACGGGUGCUUGCACCUGGUGGCGAGUGGCGAACGGGUGAGUAAUACAUCGGAACAUGUCCUGUAGUGGGGGAUAGCCCGGCGAAAGCCGGAUUAAUUCCGCAUACGAUCUACGGAUGAAAGCGGGGGACCUUCGGGCCUCGCGCUAUAGGGUUGGCCGAUGGCUGAUUAGCUAGUUGGUGGGGUAAAGGCCUACCAAGGCGACGAUCAGUAGCUGGUCUGAGAGGACGACCAGCCACACUGGGACUGAGACACGGCCCAGACUCCUACGGGAGGCAGCAGUGGGGAAUUUUGGACAAUGGGCGAAAGCCUGAUCCAGCAAUGCCGCGUGUGUGAAGAAGGCCUUCGGGUUGUAAAGCACUUUUGUCCGGAAAGAAAUCCUUGGCCCUAAUACGGUCGGGGGAUGACGGUACCGGAAGAAUAAGCACCGGCUAACUACGUG